UAAACAAUUAGGUUCCCAAGCACUCAUACUGGACAAGGCUUUCGUGGGAGUUGUGGGCAUUUUUUGGGGUAGUUUUGCUUUCUUGGACAGAAUAUACAAGUAGAGUCUAAUAAGCCCGUAUCCUUAAACAAUUAGGUUCCCAAGCACUCAUACUGGACAAGGCUUUCGUGGGAGCUGUGAGCAUUUUCAGUGGUACUUUUAUGACCCUGGUGGUAUUCUGACCCUUCUCCUGUACCUUGAACCCAAAGAAGCACUCAUGGGAACCCGACUCAUCACCGUUUUGGCCUCCGGAAAUAGUUGACGUGGGAGGCGGAAGCGACUGAAAAUAUCGACCAAAGGCUCUUCGUCUCAUCAACUCCUCCUCCUUGCUGACAGCCUCCUACCUCUUAAAUUCCGCCGCCAUGUUCCAUCUCUGUCUCAGGGGGCUUCGUGGUGCAGUGGUUAGCACACUCUGCUCACAACCGAGAGAGCCCGGGUUCGAUUCCCGGGCGGAGUGGAAAAAUUUGGGCGGCUUUUCCGAUACCCUACGCCCCUGUCCACCCAGCAGUGAAUGGGUACCAGGUAUUAAUCAGGGGUUGUGUCCCGUCUCCUGGGGUCUGUUCCCUUCUCCUAUAAUUCCUUCCCCUUCUGUCUCUCUCCGGCAUAUGACCACAGAUGUUGCGCCAACUAAACGAAACUUUCCCUUCUAUAAUUCCUUCCCCUUCUGUCUCUCUCCGGCAUAUGACCACAGAUGUUGCGCCGACUAAACGAAACUUCUAGACUUGCUAACUACAUGUGUCCCCCCCUCCCCCCCCCCAUACGCGUCCCCGCAGUACACGACUUUCUACUCUUGCUCAUCCCUGUGUUAUUCAAAUCCCUUAUGCAAGAGUUAACCAGCAUCUUUAUUUUUUCAUCCCUGCCACGGGCAAACUCUGGAACAGCCUACCUUCGUCUGUGUCUUCUCCUGCCUACGACUUGAAUUCUUCCAGGAGGAGAGUAUCAAGACGCCUCUCCACCCGAAAUUGACCCCUUCUGGCCUCUCUGUUUUCUCUCCUCGGAGUUGCUUCUAGCGGACUUUUUUUGUUGCUGUUUUCGUUUUUUGCCCUUGAGCUGCCUCCCUUCAAGUUUUUUUUUGUUAUUUUCAUGUGGCCUAUUGCGCCGGUAGGCUAAUCAAUAUGGGUCUGAGGGUCGACCCGAGCCCGUCAUGGCGCAGGCAAUUGUUUAUAGUGGCGCCAUUCUUGAUUUCACUUGCACUGUGCAGUUUCUUCUAGAGUCCGGGUUGAUGGGUGGUCUUCAGGACAGCAUGUGGGUAGUCUUAGGCCACUCGGCGGUGACUGAAAAAUCCCAGGUGGUUAGCGGCGGAUUCGAACCCACCUCAACAUAUCCAUGACAUAUUUCUAGCUAUUUACCUUUUCCUCAUAUUCAAGAAAAAAAAUAUGCAUCAAAAUUUGUUUCUCGCACUGACAGAAAAAAAAAAGUUUAUAUGCACGAAAAAGUCCUGAUGCUCAACUCACGUCCGCCGGAACUAUAAAAAAGAAAAAAAGAAAAAAAAUAACAUGGUCAUCGGGAGAGUGUGAACAUUCGUCUCAAUAAACUUAGAGCAAAAACAAUCGAUUAAAAAAAAAGUGAGAUAUGACCCCCUUAAGGAAGCACAAGGCCUUCAAACCCUUCUACUGGGAGACGCUGAUCUUUCUAUUAUUUAUUCUUUUUUUCAUUAUUUUCUUAUUUUUUCUUCUUUUCUUUCAUUUCCUUCAUUUUAUCCUUUUUUUGUUUCCUUCCUUCAUGCCUUUCAACACCUCUGUCUGGUGUUAGUGUGGUCCAUCCCGCCCCGGCAAAGGUUCUAAUUCCACCUCUCCACCUGGUCCUCUGUCUGGUGUUAGUGUGGUCCAUCCCGCCCCGGCAAAGGUUCUAAUUCCACCUCUCCACCUGGUCCUCUGUCUGGUGUUAGUGUGCUCCAUCCCGCCCCGGCAAAGGUUCUAAUUCCACCUCUCCACCUGGUCCUCUGUCUGGUGUUAGUGUGCUCCACCCCGCCCCGGCAAAGGUUCUAAUUCCACCUCUCCACCUGGUCCUCUGUCUGGUGUUAGUGUGCUCCAUCCCGCCCCGGCAAAGGUUCUAAUUCCACCUCUCCACCUGGUCCUCUGUCUGGUGUUAGUGUGCUCCAUCCCGCCCCGGCAAAGGUUCUAAUUCCACCUCUCCACCUGGUCCUCUGUCUGGUGUUAGUGUGCUCCAUCCCGCCCCGGCAAAG
Molecule: long non-coding RNA, 2224 nt
Organism: Eriocheir sinensis (Chinese mitten crab)
Lineage: Eukaryota; Metazoa; Arthropoda; Malacostraca; Decapoda; Varunidae
Exons: 3
Source: RefSeq, a predicted model, not a curated record